UGCAGGGACUUCAUUCUUCGUUAUUUCUCCCGCAUUCACACUAACAUGGCGGGUGAAGUUGCCGACAACGAGCAACUGUUGCAAAUUUUUGAGGACAUUUUUGAGGGGUUCGAUAAGUCUGUAGUCCGCCUAAAGAAAGAUGUUCCGGCUAUGUGUGAAAAAGUAACUGAACUUUUAGGGAUGUGCCAAGAAUUGCCAGAGGAAACAAGGAACUCCUUUGAAACAGCAUUUUAUAGACAUUUAUUGCAGCUUAAGAUGUCACUUGGUGUUUCACUUCACGAAAUUGGAAAUUGAAACACCGCUGAAAGAACUCGAGAACUUGGGAAAACAAAUCGGUCUGACUGAAAGAGAAUUGAAGAGACUAUCCGAUGCAUUUUGGGCCAUUGACCCUGGAAGCAGAAUUUUGGAAAUUUGAUAAGGACAAGCAAACAGCUUCUCGAGUGAAGGAAUAUGGACGACGACUCGCUUAUAUCCAGUUCAAACACAUCAAAAGCUAGAAUUUUUAACUGAAAACAAAGGUGUUCCGGGCUCGAAGUUCGAGCAAGACUCAGAGAACUAUAUGGUAUCACAAUUGAAGCGUUGGCUUAAGUGUAGAGGUUUAAAAUUGAGCGGCAAACGAACAGACCUCAUUGCACAUGUUUGCAAUUGCCUCAAAUCGGGCAACUUUUUUGUCCUUGAUUCUAGCAUAGACAAUGGGAAAUGGCUGGAAGCAAAGAUUUUGGAAGAGAAGAAAGUCGAUCAAAGGCAUUAUCAUGAUCUGGCAGUUCCAGUAAUUCCAAAAACUGGAUGGAGAGCAUUCCCAUCACAAGAUAUCCCAUCACUUUUCAACUGUGGACAUGUGUGUCACUAUGCUUUGGAAUCCCUGCCAUUUGUUGAGGAUAAUACCGCAGAUGAAGAGGGCAACGAAAUUCUUGACACUGGACUAGGACACAUGACAGACAAACCAUUUAGCAUGGGCAGAAAGUAUGUUGAUUCUGGGUUUGUUCACAAUUUAAAUGACAACAAAACUGACAAGCACUACUUCUUGAGAGCACAUGUUUGGCCAUUGAUGUAGGGUGACUCACCUCACAAUGUGAACGUUGUAUUAUCCGGAAAAAGUGGAGCAGUUAUCCAUGCUUCUUGUUCUCCGUGUAAAAGAUCUGAACUUGGUCAAUGUAGCCACGUUGUAGCAGUCUUACAUUAGUUGAGCAUGAAAACAAACACGGGUCAAAGACAACAAUGCCUUGCACAAGUCAAGAAUGUACUUGGAAUAAAGGAAAAAACUUAAAAAGAAUCCACUAAAAUUAUCUGAUGCCAUAUAUCGGACUGAAUGAAAGCAAGGCAAACUACAGGUCAUCGACUUUGAUCCUCGACCCAAGGAGUUUCAAAAAGUUACAAGCAAGAACAUCAACAAGUUAGUAGUUAAUUUGAAAGCCAUAUCAGUCGACCAAAAGAAUGUGUCAAUGUGGGAAACUCAGUUGCUUGUUACCUACGAUGACUACUGCUUUGAUCCAUCAAAUCUGCCUCUAUAGCGCUCCUCACGAUGACGUCACGAAGACGGGUCAUGUUUAUGUUUAGGUCUUCGGUUGGCAAAAAGGCACGUGUGACCUAGUUUUUACAGGUCAGUGAGGGAGGUUGUUAUAGAAAAGGUUUUGCGAUUUGUAGAGAGUGGUCGUUAGUUGUUGGGUAAUUGGGUGUGCAAAUCACUUUAAGAAGGGUUCAGGUCUAAAAUUUUUUAGGUUUCUGGACACACAACCAAAAAGAACCUGCUGGAUAAACACAAUUCGCAGGAAGAAUUGGGAGCCAAAUAAGCACACACGUGUAUGCAGUAUACAUUUCUUGUCAGGCAGUACUACAGAUGAUGCAAACGACCCCGACUACGAGCCUAACUUGCAGAUGGGCCACAGAGAUGAUGGCAGAAAGGAAAGGGCAAGAAAACGUAAAACGCGGCUCGAACGAAGUCAGCAACGUUCGAAGGCGAAGCAAGGGCAGUCUAGGCAUGAAGCCAAGCAGUUGGAAGAAGCCAAAACACUUCUUAGCUUGUCUUCAAUUCGUCCACCCCCACUUGAAAAUCUGGAAGAACCAGAUGAAAUGCAAAUUGCCAACCAAAAACUGCAAGAGGAAAAUAAGCAGAUCUAUGCAGAAUUAGUAAGGCUUCAGGAGGAGAACCGAGAGCUUAAAGACAAACUAAAAAAUGUUCCUUCAGUGAAGAGUCUCUUCAAAACAAUGAUUCAAGAACAGUUUUUUACACUGGAUUUCCCAAUUACAAAACUUUUAAUUGGGCAUUAAAUUACUGUAUACCAGUGCUGCCUAUUUCAAAGGUUUUGUCAAGUGGCAGUGUGUUUCUUUUAAUUUUUAUGAAGUUAAGACUAAAUCUUAUUAAUCUAGAUUUAGCAUAUCGAUUUAAUGUUUCUGAAGGUUUAGUUUCCAAAAUACUAAACAAAGGUCUACUAGCAAUAUCUGGACGAUUAUCUUUUUUGGUGCGAUGGCCUACUAAAGGUUAAAUUAUUCGCACUUUGCCCUCAAUGUUUAAACCCACUUACAAAAACUGUAGGGUUAUAAUUGACUGCACUGAAAUAUUUUGUGAAAGGGGCAGAAAUUUAACCGAGAGCCCUUACUUGGUCAAAUUAUAAGCACCACAACACCCUUAAAUUAUUAGUUGGCAUUACUCCUGUUAGUGCUGUUUCAUUUGUCUCCAAUGCCUAUGGUAGAAGGGUCUCUGAUAAAGUCAAAACCCAAAAGUCUGGCUUUUUAAAUAACCUGGUGCAUGGUGAUUCAGUGUUAGCUGACAGGGGUUUUUUUAAUAGAAGAAGAUCUUGCAUCAAGGGGAGCUAGGUUGGCAAUCCCAGCUUCACAAGAGGUAAAAAACAAUUAAGCAUGAACAGUGUGGAGCAGUCUAGAAGACUUGCAUGAAUCAGAAUUCAUGUUGAACGAAUGAUGGAGAGGUUAAAAAAUUUUAGAAUUCUGGCAGGCAUUCUACCAAUAACCCUUGCUCCACAUCUAGACAACAUUGAAUUAAUUAUAGCAGCUGUUAGCAAUUUACAUAAAAAAUUGGUCAAGUAAGAUCACCCUGGUGUGUCACUGCUCUAUAUGUUUCAUUUUCACAACAAACCCAAUUUGUAAAUUAAACAUUUUCUUAAUAUUUUAAUAAUGCAGGUACUGUGUAUGCACAUCAAUUUAAUGUACAUUUAUCUAGAGAUACUACAAUAUUUAAAUUCCUUUUAAAUUUUAACAAAUCAUGUGAUUGGAACAUUUCAAUAAAAUACUUAUAACAAAAAUUGCAAGUCUAAUUUUUGCCCUGUGUGGUAAACUAUAGUGAUUUUUAAUUGUUUUUAAAAUACAGUAAUGAAAAUUUAUCACACUCGUCUAAAACUGCCUGAACAUGUUCCAAGUCAUAUUUGAUUUCUAAAACAUUAAUUGCUACAUUUUUGCUCACACAAAAAUGUGCUGCUUCUAGCCUGUUCACAUGCAUUCGAAUCUGCAUCUAUCUGUAGUAUCGAUGAUUGCAUUUAAGGUCUCCUUCUUCCGUUAGACAGAAGUCUUUAUCUACCUUUGCUGCUUGAAGUGGAUCCAUGUCUUUGUAUUUGGAUGGGUAUUUAAUUUCAAGGACUUGGUUUGCAGCAUGACCAAGUUACAAACCCAUCGGCCGAUGCUCCAAUAUAGGGUCGUCCGAUAUCUAUCACCAAUCCAGAGCACCAUUAUCAUUUAAUAAACCACUACAUACCCUGCAAUACAUGUGCAAUGUGCGCAGUAAACUGUUGCAUCUUUUUUGUGCAGACAAACCCAAGGGUCGUGUGCUUUGUCAUUAAGUCGCUGAGAAAUGACUCAUCCUUUUACACAGCUGUAUGGAACAUUAUCACCGAGGAAAUGGAAAAAGAUCGGCCUAACAUGGCCACUAACAAAAAACUAAAAUGCCUCGAGCGACUUGUAGGCUUUGAGGGCUUCUUUAGUAUAGAUUCCAGGAGUCUCGAUCAAGUACAUGUAGAUAUCACCAAACUGAAGAUCAGGCCAAGUGGAUGGAUUAUUUUCCCAUUUCUUGAGAGAGUAGGGGUCUGGAAGUGGCUUAACUUCUCCUUUAUCUUUGUAGCUAAGUUUUUCUACGUAUCGAGCCUUUGCAGUAGAAUCUAGACCCUUAAAAUAAUCUGAAAACUUCGAUUGAUCUUCACAAGCCGCCAUAUUUAUUUCGUAAGCACGCUUGCUUUUGCCAACCGUAAUACUGCGCAUGUGUCAACAUGAGGUCUUUGUUUAUAAACAUUGAGGAGCUCUCUCUUAGUGAACAUCA
Stylophora pistillata is the source of this 4261-nucleotide unclassified non-coding RNA. The record is from RefSeq and is a predicted model, not a curated record. NCBI's taxonomy places the organism in Eukaryota, Metazoa, Cnidaria, Anthozoa, Scleractinia, Pocilloporidae.